AAAGUAAAAUUUCGUGGAGGUCCGAACCCACGAGCGUUGAAAAGCUCGGGGAUGACUUGUGGGUAGCGGUGAAAUUCCAAUCGAGCCCGGAGAUAGCUGGUUCUCCCCGAAAUAGCUUUAGGGCUAGCCUCAAGGUGAGAGAUACGGAGGUAGAGCACUGAAUGUCCUAGGGGGUAUUGCACCUACCGAAGACUAUUAAACUCCGAAUGCCGUCAUCUUAUACUUGGGAGUCAGACUGUGGGUGAUAAGAUUCAUAGUCGAAAGGGCAACAGCCCAGAUCGUCAGCUAAGGUCCCUAAAU
This 300-nucleotide ribosomal RNA is filed under the name Clostridioides difficile. Its description in RNAcentral is "partial 23S ribosomal RNA". It matches the Rfam family "Bacterial large subunit ribosomal RNA", at positions 753 to 1053 of the family's 2925-position model. The record is from RNAcentral. Lineage: Bacteria; Bacillati; Bacillota; Clostridia; Peptostreptococcales; Peptostreptococcaceae.